RNAcentral lists this ribosomal RNA (266 nucleotides) under uncultured Bacillota bacterium. RNAcentral describes it as "uncultured Firmicutes bacterium partial 16S ribosomal RNA". It matches the Rfam family "Bacterial small subunit ribosomal RNA", at positions 77 to 339 of the family's 1533-position model. Lineage: Bacteria; Bacillati; Bacillota. The record is from RNAcentral.
UUGCUAGUUACGGAUUUAGUGGCGAACGGGUGAGUAAUACAUAAAUAACCUGCCCCUAUGUUUGGAAUAACAGUUGGAAACGACUGCUAAUGCCAGAUACGUUAUCAAUCGGCAUCGAUAGAUAAUAAAAGAUGGGAUACAUCGCAAAGGGAUGGAUUUAUGGCGCAUUAGUUAGUUGGUGAGGUAACGGCUCACCAAGACGAUGAUGCGUAGCCGGCCUGAGAGGGUGAACGGCCACACUGGGACUGAGACACGGCCCAGACUCC